Molecule: transfer RNA, 89 nt
Filed under: Actinomycetes bacterium
Lineage: Bacteria; Bacillati; Actinomycetota; Actinomycetes
Also listed under: 2 other names
Description: Actinobacteria bacterium tRNA-Ser
Rfam family: tRNA
About the family: Transfer RNA (tRNA) molecules are approximately 80 nucleotides in length. Their secondary structure includes four short double-helical elements and three loops (D, anti-codon, and T loops). Further hydrogen bonds mediate the characteristic L-shaped molecular structure. tRNAs have two regions of fundamental functional importance: the anti-codon, which is responsible for specific mRNA codon recognition, and the 3' end, to which the tRNAs corresponding amino acid is attached (by aminoacyl-tRNA synthetases). tRNAs cope with the degeneracy of the genetic code in two manners: having more than one tRNA (with a specific anti-codon) for a particular amino acid; and 'wobble' base-pairing, i.e. permitting non-standard base-pairing at the 3rd anti-codon position.
Source: RNAcentral
GGCGGGGUGCCAGAGCGGACGAAUGGGACGGUCUUGAAAACCGUUGGGCCGCGAAAGCGGCUCCGUGGGUUCGAAUCCCACCCCCGCCG